Acanthosepion pharaonis is the source of this 99-nucleotide non-coding RNA. Lineage: Eukaryota; Metazoa; Mollusca; Cephalopoda; Sepiida; Sepiidae. The record is from the annotation of a GenBank genome assembly.
GCUUGUAACAUCGGUUCUCGUAAGAUCGCCGAAGUUAAGCAACGUCGAGACUUUUCAAUACCUGGAUGGGUGACCGAUUAGGAAUACCAGGUGCUGUGA